Non-coding RNA from Schizosaccharomyces pombe (fission yeast), 221 nucleotides. The record is from the annotation of a GenBank genome assembly. Lineage: Eukaryota; Fungi; Ascomycota; Schizosaccharomycetes; Schizosaccharomycetales; Schizosaccharomycetaceae.
AAAAAGGGGUGUUUUUUCUCGAUUUGGAGAAGAAAGAAAACUGUUUUCUAAGCCUUUAGAGUCAAGAGACACAUCUUUUGCUUCUCUAUAUGAGAACUCUUGCUCUUUCAUCGUCAGGAUAGCUUAAUUAGACUUUACAGACUAUAAUACCUUAUCGAGUGUUAAAAUGUGGACACAGUAUCAUAUAAGCACCCUGAAGUACAACAAAAGACGAGCCUUCU